RNAcentral lists this ribosomal RNA (115 nucleotides) under Prolemur simus (greater bamboo lemur). Lineage: Eukaryota; Metazoa; Chordata; Mammalia; Primates; Lemuridae. The record is from RNAcentral.
UAUGGCCAUACACCUAGGCAUGCCUGAUCUCUUCUGAUCUCAGAAGCUAAGCAGGAUUGGGCCUGGUUAGUACUUGGAUGGGAGAAAUGAGUAAAGAAUAAAGGUAUCAAAAUAU